Molecule: long non-coding RNA, 291 nt
Organism: Pseudophryne corroboree (corroboree frog)
Lineage: Eukaryota; Metazoa; Chordata; Amphibia; Anura; Myobatrachidae
Exons: 3
Source: RefSeq, a predicted model, not a curated record
UAUGCUGCAUAUGUAUCAGUGGGCGGUGUUAUGUCUGUUAUCCAAAUGAUGUUUGCAGGACUCCUCUUCCUACUUUUCACAAAAUUCAGCUUUAUGCGAAAACUUCUGAUAAAAGUUCAGUAUGCUGCAUAUGUAUCAGUGGGCGGUGUUAUGUCUGUUAUCCAAAUGAUGUUUGCAGGACUCCUCUUCCUACUUUUCACAAAAUUCAGCUUUAUGCGAAAACUUCUGAUAAAAUAUCCGAAAUUCUUUUAAUUCGGUUAUUUCUCUAGUGAAGGACCAACGCAGCAACAG